GUGAGUAACGUUAACUGUUAAUAUAAUUUUAUGAUGUAUAUGACUGUUAUAACAUUAAGUAAUGUGUACUGAAACGUUAAUUAAAUCGUAAAACUAUUUAAAAAACGAAGUUUUAAUUCCCUUUAGUCAGUUUUUUUCUUCCCCAGAGAAUCAGAUCGAUUGUAAAUGAAUAUGCUAUUCCCGUUUGCUUGCUAGCAUUAAUAAAUAAAAACAUUAUCUGAAAGACUAGCAAAACUGUUUAGAGAAGUAUUACUUAACGUUAAUAAAAAUGUCUGGUGAAAUGUGAAAGGUCGCCGAAAUCUUUAGGCUAUAAAAGCCGCACGGACCAUUUAUCGGAUCGGACCAGUGAAUGAAGCUGCUCGAGCGAGCCGAGCUCACACAUCAGUCAUACGACAGACGCAGAUUCAAUAAAUGGAUUUCUUUGUAAAGGAAAGAUUACAACAGUGGAACCUCUGCAAUUUAAUAGAAACAUUUCAAGGUUGGUACUAAUAUGGUGCACUACCUCAAUAAUGAGACAAGCCAGGAUCCACAUGUCUUGGUGCUUGGAGACAAAGAAAAUUCCUCCCAAGUUUUUAUCAUUUUCAUUGGAGAGGCAGUUGAAAAGGAGACCUUACUUCAAGCAGUGAACGUAUGCUUCAAAAUGUUCUACAUCUAUGACAUAAACUACCCAAAGCCCUCUCCUCCAAUUUGGGAGUUCUUGCAGCAUGCAGUCUAUAAUAUUCCUGGAGGAGUUCCUUUUGCACAUUGCUGCCUCCUAAAAAACUUUGUAUUCAAAGUUACUGAUCAUCAGUAGAUCCAGUAGCCAAAACACAAAUUAAAGGGUUAGUUCACACAAAAAUGAAAAUUCUGUCAUUAAUUACUCACCCUCAUGUUGUUCCAAACCCAAGACCUCCGUUCAUCUUUGGAACACAAAUUAAGAUAUUUUUGCAUUCUGACAGCUCUCUGACCCUCCCAUAGACAGC
Cyprinus carpio carpio is the source of this 962-nucleotide long non-coding RNA. Lineage: Eukaryota; Metazoa; Chordata; Actinopteri; Cypriniformes; Cyprinidae. The record is from Ensembl.